This 245-nucleotide ribosomal RNA is filed under the name uncultured bacterium. RNAcentral's name for it is "partial 16S ribosomal RNA". It matches the Rfam family "Bacterial small subunit ribosomal RNA", at positions 524 to 768 of the family's 1533-position model. The record is from RNAcentral.
UACGUAGGGUGCGAGCGUUAAUCGGAAUUACUGGGCGUAAAGCGUGCGCAGGCGGUUCGUUAAGUCUUGUGUGAAAGCCCCGGGCUCAACCUGGGAAUGGCAUGGGAAACUGGCGGGCUGGAGUGUGGCAGAGGGGGGUGGAAUUCCGCGUGUAGCAGUGAAAUGCGUAGAGAUGCGGAGGAACACCGAUGGCGAAGGCAGCCCCCUGGGCCAACACUGACGCUCAGGCACGAAAGCGUGGGGAG